CCUCGGGAGGCAGCAGUAGGGAAUCUUGGACAAUGGGCGCAAGCCUGAUCCAGCCAUGCCGCGUGAGUGAAGAAGGCCUUAGGGUCGUAAAGCUCUUUCGCCUGUGAUGAUAAUGACAGUAGCAGGUAAAGAAACCCCGGCUAACUCCGUGCCAGCAGCCGCGGUAAUACGGAGGGGGUUAGCGUUGUUCGGAAUUACUGGGCGUAAAGCGCGCGUAGGCGGAUUGGAAAGUUAGAGGUGAAAUCCCGGGGCUCAACCCCGGAACGGCCUUUAAAACUCCCAGUCUAGAGUUCGAGAGAGGUGAGUGGAAUUCCAAGUGUAGAGGUGAAAUUCGUAGAUAUUUGGAGGAACACCAGUGGCGAAGGCGGCUCACUGGCUCGAUACUGACGCUGAGGUGCGAAAGUGUGGGGAGCAAACAGGAUUAGAUACCCUGGUAGUCCACACCGUAAACGAUGAAUGCCAGUCGUCGGAUAGUAUACUAUUCGGUGACACACCUAACGGAUUAAGCAUUCCGCCUGGGGAGUACGGUCGCAAGAUUAAAACUCAAAGGAAUUGACGG
Molecule: ribosomal RNA, 559 nt
Filed under: uncultured bacterium
Lineage: Bacteria
Description: bacterial SSU rRNA
Rfam family: Bacterial small subunit ribosomal RNA
Source: RNAcentral